GGAAGUGUUGGGUGGGUGGGGCCUAAUACAUGCAGUUCGAACGAAGCACCUCGGUGCUUAGUGGCGAACGGGUGAGUAACACGUGGGUAACCUGCCCUCAAGACGAGGAUAACCGUUGGAAACGAUGGCUAAGACUGGAUAGGAGCGCGGAAGGCAUCUUCUGCGCUUUCAAUUACCUGGCAAGAGGUAUGCUUUGAGGAGGGGCCUGCGGCGCAUUAGUUAGUGGGCGGGGUGAGGGCC
Molecule: ribosomal RNA, 240 nt
Filed under: bacterium enrichment culture clone Ean15
Lineage: Bacteria
Description: partial 16S ribosomal RNA
Rfam family: Bacterial small subunit ribosomal RNA
Source: RNAcentral